Molecule: ribosomal RNA, 253 nt
Filed under: uncultured prokaryote
Description: partial 16S ribosomal RNA
Rfam family: Bacterial small subunit ribosomal RNA
Source: RNAcentral
UACGGAGGGAGCUAGCGUUAUUCGGAAUUACUGGGCGUAAAGCGCACGUAGGCGGCUUUGUAAGUUAGAGGUGAAAGCCUGGAGCUCAACUCCAGAAUUGCCUUUAAGACUGCAUCGCUUGAAUCCAGGAGAGGUGAGUGGAAUUCCGAGUGUAGAGGUGAAAUUCGUAGAUAUUCGGAAGAACACCAGUGGCGAAGGCGACUUACUGGACACGUAUUGACGCUGAGGUGCGAAAGCGUGGGGAGCAAACAGG